Long non-coding RNA from Magnolia sinica, 1734 nucleotides. RefSeq lists it as uncharacterized. Lineage: Eukaryota; Viridiplantae; Streptophyta; Magnoliopsida; Magnoliales; Magnoliaceae. The transcript has 2 exons. The record is from RefSeq and is a predicted model, not a curated record.
AGCACAUGCUCAAUCACAUUUCAUGAAAUUACAAAGAAAUUCAUUGCAAGGAUAUUCAUAGUAUAUCCUUAAGCAUCAAUUUUGUUCAGAUUAGGACCAAUGACUCAAGUGAUCCAGGUCAUUUAUCUGAUAUGCCCGGAGUUGAUAGACCAUGUCUCAGGAAUUUCCCAGAUUGGAUAAUCCUAGCCAUACAACCUCUGGUCCUUUUGCCAUCAUGAGUGGACCAUUGCUGUAUUUUUUUUUCUAACUUUCUAUUCGUGGACCACCAAUCAAAGGGUUUGGGUUGUACGGGUGAUUUUGGUGCGUCCCCUAUCCAAGUUGGGUACCAUCAGAUCAACAGUUUGGAUCACCAUCUUUCCUUAUACAGCCAUAUUGACUCAAGCCACAAGGAUACACCAUGCAUAUCCUCAACAAGUGAAAACAGAUUUAUCAGUGUGUUUGGUUGCAUGAAAUACAUGAUAUUUCAUCAUUAAUCAGUCUAAUUCGAUGCUAAUUUUCAUGGGAUUUCAUGAAAUUCGGUUCAACCAAAACAAUUCUUAUAAACUGUUCAGAAGGAAUAAUUAAAAGAUUUUUUUGUAAUUACUCGUAGAUGAAAGAAAUAUGAAGCUUUUUUCUCAUUUGAGAAUAUGAAUAGUGACCCAAACCUGAAAUAGUACAAGACAACAUUUCAAACCAUUUUAGCCCUACGCUAACAUAUGUGUGAUGGAAUAACUCCAAAUGUCCAAUGGCUGAUCAUUAACCAAUUACAGAUUAAAAUUUCAUCAUUUUCGUCAACUAUGGGCCAUCGAUAUGGUGGCUCACAGGAUUGACGAUCCUGAUUACAAUAUUUGUGGUUAGAAAUCCUAUCAUCUUUGAUCAUUCAAAGGAGUCUUUGUAUCUUUUCUGAAUUACUGACUAACAUAAACCUCUGAUAGAAAAUAAGGCAACGAAAACAUAACUAUCCAACACAAGAAUUCCACGAUGAAUUUAUAUGAAUCUCUAGUGAAAAUAUGCAGUUUCCUUGAGCUUGGCGGGGCCCACCAAUCAGACAGUCAGAUUGCGACUAUCACGCAAGAGUAGUAUGUUAAUAUCUGAGGCUCUUGGAGAGGUUGUGAUCUCCUGAAACUGUUGCAUGGGAGCUCUCGGUGAUUAAUGGAAGUUCUUGAUCAGAUCGUCUUCAUUUCCAUUGAUGUCUUUCUGGCUUUUGUGAUUGCCAGUCACAACAUCAAUGAACAACUUGGCAAAAAUCUCACCGAUCAUAGAUCCUCGCCAUCCAUGCAGAGCUGGAUUAGAAACAACAUUCGCAAUUUCAACUAAUAAUAGGAGAUGAGAUUCGCCAAGUACUAGUAAUUUCACAAGUAGACCACCUGUAGUGGGACCUAGUAGAUGAACGGUUCUGAUUGCCACGAUGGUGGGAUAGAAAGGAAAAGUUCUAAGUGAUUGAAGAUCGCGUCGAUGGUUGAAAGAUACAAAGAAAGAGGUCUGUUAAUUCCACACGCCAGGACCCUUGUACAAGAAUUGAGCUUUCCAUCUGGUUAGAACAAUGAUUAGAUCUGAAAUAAACAGAGAUUGGGACCAUUGAUCAGUGUCCAAAAGAUGAGGAAAGCAGUCUCUUGAGAUUGGGUAUCACUUGGAGAUUUGCUCUUCCUGACCGUAAGAUUUUCUUUAGUAUUUCUCGUGAUUUUCUAGUGUUUUCUCCAGUAUGUUGCAAUGGAGUUGCUAAUCCCCUCUAUAAACUCUGAUGGACAUUCCCAA